CUACAUUAUACAUAUAUGCUUUCCUACUAUUUAUAUAUUAUAUUUCUACUAGAUUAUAUUGUCCUGGAUUUCUAUGAGUUUUGGUUAAGAUCAAAUGCUCUUAAUGCUUGUGGGCAUGCCUACCUAUAUAGGAAUACCCCACUCACUCCAUGACUCUAAAAUUUACCAACUUUCCCCCAUGUGUAUGUUUAAAAUAGCCUUGUAUUCUAUUUAUAGAAGUAACGCAUUUUGAAAAGAAGAGAAUAGGUAGCCCUUGAAGUUCCAUCACCACUUGUACUCGGAUGACUUCCUGUACCAUUUCUGUUUCUGUGCGCCCCUUCUACAUAUGACUGAACGUGUGGGCCAUCAAAAGGGAAAGGAGAGUGCUUCACCCAGCAGCUUUACCUGAGCUCCCAUCAAGGGACAAAGGGAGAUGGAGCUUCUUCCCUUCCCAGAAAGCAAAACUGAUGCAAAACCAGGAGUGUGGGUUGGCCAGAGAGAAACCGGAAGAGAAAAGGGCAGUGGAAUCCUUUCAAAUCAUCAAAUACCUUUUCAGCUCACAGACUGGCUCAUUUUCAUUAUGUACUUUUAAAAGAAGGAAACCUGAAAUAGGUUCUUUCUAUACAGCACAUGGUGAUUCCUUUGCUAGUAAGAUCUUUUUCGUCUGUUCAUGACAUUGGAAAAUAAAACUAUGGAGUCAUACCUCAUUGGGUUUUUUAUGUUCUUUUUCUCCUAUGGCAUAUAAAAUUGAAUAUCCAGCUCCUUCAGAAAUAAACAUAUAUCCCUCAAUAAGCUCAACUUUCAGUAACAUUUAAAACUUCAAAG
This 804-nucleotide long non-coding RNA is filed under the name Capra hircus (goat). RNAcentral's name for it is "lncRNA (ENSCHIG00000007854.1)". The record is from RNAcentral. Lineage: Eukaryota; Metazoa; Chordata; Mammalia; Artiodactyla; Bovidae.